GGGAUGACACAGUAGGAUAAGCUAAGCACACUGUUGGUUAUGUGUGCCCAAGCAUUGAGGCAGUCAAAGUAGGCAAAUCCGCUUUGAUAAUGCUGGGAUGUGAUGGGGAGCGAAAUUUAGUAGCGAAGUAGCUGAUUUCACACUGUCAAGAAAAGUCUCUAUCGAGGUUAAAGGUACCCGUACCGCAAACCGACACAGGUGGGUGAGGAGAGUAUCCUAAGGC
Molecule: ribosomal RNA, 223 nt
Filed under: Clostridioides difficile
Lineage: Bacteria; Bacillati; Bacillota; Clostridia; Peptostreptococcales; Peptostreptococcaceae
Description: partial 23S ribosomal RNA
Rfam family: Bacterial large subunit ribosomal RNA
Source: RNAcentral